This 705-nucleotide long non-coding RNA is filed under the name Equus caballus (horse). RNAcentral describes it as "lncRNA (ENSECAG00000058966.1)". Lineage: Eukaryota; Metazoa; Chordata; Mammalia; Perissodactyla; Equidae. The record is from RNAcentral.
AAGCCACCGAGGAGGUUGUCUCAUCAUGGCAGGGCUGGCUUCAUCCUGCUUCCUGCCCCCCCCAGACAGGUGGCUGAGGUGCAGCAGGACGUCGCACGGUUCCUGCGUGCGGCAAGGAGGCUGCUGGAAAGGUGGGCUCCCAGCUUGCUCCCCAGAACCUCGCCAUGUCAGGACCCUCACCUCUCUGCUGGGUGGGCCGUGGCCCAGCUGAGCUGCACGGGUCCCAGGCCCGAGCCAGCCCUUCUCAGCAUUUGCUACUGAACAUCGAGAACAUUCUGGGUGGGGCUCCAGAGAACAGAAGCCUCUCCAAGACCCCGAAGUCAGAGCCCACGCAGACCGAACUCACUGGGCUGGAAACCUCGGUGGUCACAUGGGAGGCCUGGGGCCGAGGCCGGUCAGCUCCAGGCCACUGGCUCCUGGCUGCCCCCGUGAGCCAGUCGGAGGGGCUGCUGUCCCGGCAUGCUGGGCUCCCGUGUCAGGGCAGCAGAGCCCCACCGGGUGCUGGCGGCAUUAAGUCAUUAAUCCCCACACCUUCCUUGUGAGAAAAACUAGUGUCCAGAGAAUAUGGAGAAACUGAAGCUUCCCAGGCCCAACUCCUCGCCUUUCUGAUGUCAGGGUCCACCUUCCACCAUGGAGACAAACAGCCAAGGACACUCAUCUGAAAAACCCUUUGUCUCCUCCACUGGAAGCAGCUCCAGACACAGG